Long non-coding RNA from Ctenopharyngodon idella (grass carp), 2386 nucleotides. RefSeq lists it as uncharacterized. The record is from RefSeq and is a predicted model, not a curated record. The transcript is spliced from 4 exons. NCBI's taxonomy places the organism in Eukaryota, Metazoa, Chordata, Actinopteri, Cypriniformes, Xenocyprididae.
AGCGACUCCUUUUGAAUCGCUCUCGCGGUUCUUGAAUCUCAAUCUCGUUCUGGAGUAGAAUCGGUUGCAACGGUUUUCGGAUCACCAGUACACAACCGAGAACCGCUUCUUUCGGACGUGUCCGAUUUGAGAACCGAUGAGCUGAUGAUAUUGCGCAUGCGUGAUUCAGUGUGUGAUCUGAAGCUACAGAACAGUAAUGACUGUGACAGCACCAUCGUCUGAUCCGUUUAAACAAUAAGAUUGUAUAUUAUCAGUACAUCUGAAUCAAAAUAACUUGUACAUUAAAGCCUGCUUGUGUAGAUUAUUCAUCAUUAAAUUAGAUUAGUGAUGUUAUCAGAUUACAGAUUAGGCUAGGAUCGGCUACUGGAUAAAGUUAGUAUCAAACACCGUAUUAAUAGUUAAAUCUGUUAUUUUAAUUCCGUUUCAUCCAUCAUUGUGGAAUUAGAGAAAAGGAUUCUAAACAUAUAUAUAUAUAUAAUUUUUUUUUUUUUUUUUUUUUUUUUUUUUGCAAGGUAUGGAAAGUUACAUAUUGGUUAAAUAUAACGUUUGGGCACGUGUGACAGCGGGUGGGUGUAAAGUGGUAAACUGAGGAUACCAAGUUUGUUCCUUAUUACACGUGUAUUAAAGAAUAAAAUUCUUUAAUAAUAAAAAGCAUCCGAUAUACAUUUAGUGUUUUAGGCAUUGUGAUUCAAUUAACUAUUACCUGUCUAUAUUUCAGCUCAGCUGAAUUUUUGGAUUGAUGUCAGAAGAAAGUUGAUAGACCUAAAUGAGAUUGAAAAAAACAAGGUUAAAAAACAGUCUUAAAAUAAGGGAGCAUUUUUGAAAAAGGAAUCAUACUAACUACCAGAACUGUGCUAUACUACUGUAUUAUAGAAGUAAUCAUGCUAAACAUGUGUAUAUCAAUAACAUACUGUGUAUGCACUAGGUGCUGAUAGAUGGAGGCUUAGUGAUGCUACAGGACUGCUCUGUGAUGGAGCAUCAGUGAUGAUGCAGGUCAGGAUAGCUGAGGGGACCAUGGUGAGAAUAAAAACAAAAGCGUGUUAUGUUUCCAGCCAACAUAAACACACAAGCAUGUGUUGCUACUCCUGUGUGACCUGGCAAAGUGACAUCACCAUAGAGUUUGCCUGUGAGCAUGUGCAGCUCCACACUUGGAGUGAUUGCUAUCUCAUCCAAGGACAGUACACACUCCCUUUCAAGGGUUCUGAUUGAUGGCAGGGGAAUCUGCAUUUCCUGUAGGGUCUUGUAACCUGUUGGACCGGCUGCAAAGCGAAUUUUCACUGCCUUUUUAAUUGUGUCUUUGCUCCACUUCAUCCCUUUUGUGGUCAGUAAACCUAAUGCCUUAAUUUGGUCUUUUGAGAACAUUUUCUUUAAAUUUGUGUCCCUAAUUUUCAUUGUUUUCUUGAGAGCUGCAUUUGCAUUCUUUAUUUUUCUUAGUGCAGCCUUUGCAUUUUUGGAUAUUUUUUCUUGUCUCUUUAAUUUUUUAAUAGACCCUGGUGACUGGCUGGUGGCUCACUGGUAUGCUGACUUGCUGCUGGCUGACUGGAUAGUGUCACCUCCACUGUCUCGCCUCCUUAGCCAUGUCCUCUCUUUCUUCACUGUCACUUUCCCUUUUCUGAGUGUUCUCAUCGCUUUUUUCCUCAGCCUUUGAAACUGAUAUAGGCAGAAUACAUGGAUCACAUCACUUCAAAAUAAGAAAUAUUACUACAAUUAGAAAGAGUUCAUACUUUUUAUAUAUAUAUAUAUAUAUAUGUCACCUGUAACACUAGCUGUGAUCAGCAGCUAUGUGCUGUAUGUCUAUGGUCUAGGGGUGUAUCGUGGUGCAGGGGCCCUCCUCUUUUUGAACACAGGACGAUGCACAAAGAUGGAGGGAAUAGCAUCUGGUCUCAGCCUACUCUUAGACUUUUUGGUCAUGACAAAUUGGUCUGCCUCAAAAUGUGCCUGCAGAGUGACUUGAGCACAAGAACCACAUGGAGCUGAUGACUCCCUGCAAUGAGACACACUCUCCACGAGUCUCCGCUCCCUGGGUUUUGCAAGCAUUUGCUUGUUCCUUAUUUCUAGUAAACCUAACAAAAUUUCCCAAUGGGUGGUCUAUGUGAAAAAGUGCAAAUACAAUGUAAUUACCUCACAAAUUUUUGUUGUUGUAAUUUUUAUUUAUAUUAAGAUUGCUCCUGCUGACUUGAGCCAGCCAUUUUUUUUCUCCUCUCCAUGCCAGUGGGGAAGCCAAACAUUCGCACUCCUUUCUCCGAGCAAUUGGAGCAUCCCCAUGCAGCACAGCAAACCAUGGCAGAGAUUAUGCAAGGACAACUUGGAGGAAAGACAGACAAAAUGCUUGGCAUGCUAUUCAGUUUAUUAGAAAUGUAUUCAUAAAUAAAUUGCUGUAAAUAGU